UGCGCUACCUGGUUGAUCCUGCCAGUAGUCAUACGCUUGUCUCGCAGAUUAAGCCAUGCAUGUCUAAGUGUAAAUGUUUUUACAGUAAAACUGCGGAUGGCUCAUUACAACAGUUAUAGUUUGCUUGGACUAUUAAAUCUACGGAUAUCCGUGGAAAUACUACAGUUAAUACGUAACACUUCUUUGGAGGUGCUGCAUAUUUCUGUAAACUCGCAGUGCAGAUUUAUCUGUGCUAUUACUGAAUGCUGGUAUGCUUUUAUCGUAUUUUAUAUACGAAAGUCCAUCAAAGUUUCUGACCCAUCAGGUUCCGACGGUAAGGUAUUGGCUUACCGUGCCGAUAACGGGUAACGGGGGAUUAGGGUUCGAUCCCGGAGAGGGAGCUUGAGAUAUAGCUACCACAUCUAAGGAAGGCAGCAGGCGCGCAAAUUACCGAUCCUUGACACAAGGAGGUAGUAAACAGAAAUAAUGACGCAUGAUUUUAAUCGUGCGAUCGGAAUAAAUGGUUUUUAAACAAAACCAUGAAAUCAAUUGGAGGAAAAGUCUGGUGCCAGCACCCGCGGUAAUACCAGCUCCAAUAGCGUAUAUUAUUGAUGUUGCAGUUGAAACGUUCGUAGUCGAACUUUUUCUGUUAAAGUGAUUUAGUGUUUUUACGCUAUUUUACUCUUACCAGAAAUGAUGCAAUGUUAUUCACACUUGUGUGGUAACUUUUGCAUUUUACUUUGAGUGAAUCGGCGUGUUCCACGCAGGCUAUUGCCUAGAACGUUUUACCAUAGCAUAAUUAGAGUAUAAAAACAAUUCCUUGCUUGUUUGGAAUUGUAUUUCAUACUCAUAAGAACGGUUGAGGGCAUUCGUAUUCAACUGCUAGAGGUGAAAUUCUUUGAUUAGUUGAAGACGAACAAUGGCGAAAGCAUCUGCCAAGGACGUUUCUUUUGAUCAAGAACGAAAGUUAGGUGAUCGAAGAUGAUUAGAUACCGUUGUAGUCCUAACUAUAAACUUUACUAUCCAAGAAUUGGAUUGGUGACUUUACGUCUUUCCAGUGCUUUUUGAGAAAUCAUAAGGCUUUGAGUUCUGGGGGGAGUAUAGUUGCAAAGCUGAAACUUAAAGGUAUUGACGGAAGGGCACCACCAGGAGUGGAACUUGCGGCUUAAUUUGACUCAACACGGAAAAACUUACGAGGAUAAGACAAACGUAGGAUUGACAGAUUGAUCGCUCUUUCUUGAUUGUUUGGGUGGUGGUGCAUGGCCGUUCUUAGUUCGUGGAUUAAUUUGUCUGGUUAAUUCCGUUAACGAACGAGACCUUAACUUGCUAAUUGGAGUUUAUUAUUGAAUAAUAAGCUCUGUUAGAAGGACCAUGUGUCUCUAACACAAGGAAGCGUGAGGCAAUAACAGGUCUGUGAUGCCCUUAGAUAUCCUCGGCAGCACGCGUGUUACAAUGAUAUAUAUAAUGUGUUGUGUUUCUCGAAAGAGUGAUACAACCAUGAAUAUAUAUCAAACUAGGGAUUGUUUGUUGGAAUGUCAAACAUCAACGAGGAAUUCCUAGUAAGCGUGAAUCAUUAAUUCACGUUGAUUACGUCCCUGCCCUUUGUACACACCGCCUGUCGCAUCUAUUGAUUAGGUUAUAUCAUGAGUUAGGUGGAGAUGGUGUAAAGGGAUUUUUAAUUUCUUUAUAUCGUUGAAACCUUGCAAAUGGUAUUACCCAGAAACAGAUAAAGUCAUAACACGGCAGCUGUAGGUGAACCUGCAGAAGGAUCA
This 1751-nucleotide ribosomal RNA is filed under the name Lecudina longissima. RNAcentral describes it as "SSU rRNA". It matches the Rfam family "Eukaryotic small subunit ribosomal RNA". The record is from RNAcentral. Lineage: Eukaryota; Apicomplexa; Conoidasida; Eugregarinorida; Lecudinidae.